RNAcentral lists this ribosomal RNA (496 nucleotides) under uncultured bacterium. RNAcentral describes it as "partial 16S ribosomal RNA". It matches the Rfam family "Bacterial small subunit ribosomal RNA", at positions 28 to 506 of the family's 1533-position model. The record is from RNAcentral.
GAUGAACGCUGGCGGCGUGCCUAAUACAUGCAAGUCGAGCGAACAGACGAGGAGCUUGCUCCUCUGACGUUAGCGGCGGACGGGUGAGUAACACGUGGAUAACCUACCUAUAAGACUGGGAUAACUUCGGGAAACCGGAGCUAAUACCGGAUAAUAUAUUGAACCGCAUGGUUCAAUAGUGAAAGACGGUUUUGCUGUCACUUAUAGAUGGAUCCGCGCCGCAUUAGCUAGUUGGUAAGGUAACGGCUUACCAAGGCAACGAUGCGUAGCCGACCUGAGAGGGUGAUCGGCCACACGGGAACUGAGACACGGUCCAGCCUCCUACGGGAGGCAGCAGUAGGGAAUCUUCCGCAAUGGGCGAAAGCUUGACGGAGCAACGCCGCGUGAGUGAUGAAGGUCUUCGGAUCGUAAAACUCUGUUAUUAGGGAAGAACAAAUGUGUAAGUAACUAUGCACGUCUUGACGGUACCUAAGCAGAAAGCCACGGCUAACUACGU